This 1539-nucleotide long non-coding RNA is filed under the name Homo sapiens (human). Its description in RNAcentral is "HSALNT0026141". Lineage: Eukaryota; Metazoa; Chordata; Mammalia; Primates; Hominidae. The record is from RNAcentral.
GACGAUUUGAGUGGCUUUGCCUCAGUUCACCCUAGGGUGGUUGCAGCCAGCACGACUUGCACAGGAGGGAGGCUCACUGGAGGAACGGGGCAGCCUCGGGCAUGACGCGUGAUGCCUCCUUCUCUCACCCCGACGGGAAGCACGGUGUGUUUGCAGCAUCGGCAACCACAGGAGUAAUUGUUCAGGGCUCAUCAGAGUUAAUCAGUAGGAAAACAUAAGAGGCUCUUGCUCUGACUGCUGCAAGAAAACAGGCCUAGAAACCCCAGUCAAAGUUUUCCUGGCGUUGGAUUAGAAUGGGUGUCAUGACAUUUGUAGAGUAAGAAAGAUGGUUUUUCUUGGAGAUCUUGUUUAAAGGCCUGGAUCUUUUGUUAUUAAUGAUUUAGAAGAAAAGAUACAAUCUCGUCUUUGUUCACCUUUCUUAAUGCUGUCAGAUCGUGAAACAGAACUUACAAAUGUGCGGGGAAUAUUUGGAAGCAGGACUGUAUUUUUCACUUAGGAUGUGGGAUCAGAUGACCGUUCCUUUGGUCUUUUCAUUCAUUUUUUGACGCGUGAGCUGCUGGGGAGCAGCCAGGGCUCACAGGGGCCGUCUCCUGGUUUCUCCCGAGGGGCCUUUGGUUUGGAGUUGGAUUCCGGUACAACAGCCAGUCAUUCACUCACCAGCACGUCACCACCCUGGGGUAAAUUUCAGCUCCGUUUUUCAUUUUCUUUAUCGGUUACUUAGCAUCUCUCACAUGCCUUCUCCACAGGAAGUCUGAGAUGCUCCCUUGCAGGGCUCUGAGGUCUCCCUGGGAGAACAGAGCCCAGGAGCUCUCAGCCCGGGCAGGGAUGGGCCUGGUGCCCAGCUGCCCCUGGCCCGGCCGCGGCCUCUGCUGCUCUGCUCUGCUGCGGGGCCCGUUCAGCCUGACCUCAUUGGAACUGCCUGGAUUUCAGUGUCUUUAACUGGAAAAUCCGUAGCAAGUGGCUGGGCUAGAAGAGCUUCCAGAAUUCUGAGCAAUCUUGCCCUGGAAGUGAGCGCAGCUGCUGUCUGGCCUCCCCACCCCGAGGCGGCUCCCCUGGGACCUGCCCCUUUCCAGCUGGUGCGACUCCCACACCGUCAUCCACUGAUCCUCAGAGAGAAGCGGACUGCUGAAGCCAAGCCAUGGUCCGCUCCUUCAAGGUUUCAGUUUAACCCCUUUAUCCCAGGAACCUGCCUGGGCUCCAUGUCCUCACUGGCCAAUGACCGUCAUGCUGCACCUCCAGGACCAGCUCUCACUGCACACCCUCCUGAGCAACAGAGGAGGUCUUCAGGUCACUGCCUCCGCCACAGUGAGACAGCAGGCUCAGCCACGCUGGACAUCAGGAAGCUCAGGAGAGCCUGCCCUGCCCUCAGCAAGUGCACCUGGACAUCUAGGAAACUGACAGCCCCCUGCAAAUCCACCUUCGGGCCUUGGCUCUAGGGGGUGACCCUUGCACGUCAGGGAAUCAUCAACCUAAUUGCCGUGUGCUUAUUUUACAUUGCACACCUGUACCAAAACAUCUCAUGUACCCCAUAAACAUAUA